Molecule: ribosomal RNA, 327 nt
Filed under: uncultured eukaryote
Lineage: Eukaryota
Description: partial 18S ribosomal RNA
Rfam family: Eukaryotic small subunit ribosomal RNA
Source: RNAcentral
CCCUUAGAUGUUCUGGGCCGCACACGCGCUACACUGAAGGAGGCAGCGUGUACUCCUGGAUCGGAAGAUUUGGGUAACCCGCGAAUCUCCUUCGUGCUAGGGAUUGAGGUUUGCAAUUAUCCUUCAUGAACGAGGAAUUCCCAGUAAGUGCAAGUCAUAAGCUUGCGCUGACUACGUCCCUGCCCUUUGUACACACCGCCCGUCGCUACUACCGAUUGAAUGAUUUAGUGAGGACUUCGGACUGGGACCGAUGCGGCUUUCGGGCUGCGUCGGUAUUCUGGAAAGAUGUCCAAACUGUAUCAUUUAGAGGAAGUAAAAGUCGUAACA